CCUACGGGAGGCAGCAGUGGGGAAUAUUGGGCAAUGGGCGGAACCCUGAUCCAGCAACGCCGCGUGAGGGAAGAAGGAUUUCGGGAUGUAAAGCUCUAUCAUCAGGGAAGAAAGAAAUGACGGUACCUGAGUAAUAAGCCCCGGCUAACUACGUGCCAGCAGCCGCGGUAAUACGUAGGGGGCAAGCGUUAUCCGGAUUUACUGGGUGUAAAGGGCGUGUAGGCGGGAAUGCAAGUCUGAAGUGAAAGGCUGGGGCCCAACCCCCGGCCUGCUUUUGAAACUGUUUGUCUUGAGUGCUGGAGAGGCAAGUGGAAUUCCGAGUGUAGCGGUGAAAUGCGUAGAUAUUCGGAGGAACACCAGUGGCGAAGGCGGAUUACUGGACUGUAACUGACGUUGAGGCUCGAAAGCGUGGGGAGCAAACAGGAUUAGAUACCCCUGUAGUC
This 443-nucleotide ribosomal RNA is filed under the name uncultured bacterium. RNAcentral describes it as "partial 16S ribosomal RNA". It matches the Rfam family "Bacterial small subunit ribosomal RNA", at positions 338 to 795 of the family's 1533-position model. The record is from RNAcentral.